GGUUCACUCCCUCUGGGGCACCUGGCAUUGGCCACUGUCAGUAGACAGGAUACUGGGCUGGAGGGACCUUUGGUCUGACCCAGUAUGGCCAUUCUUAUGUCGAUAGCUCAAAAGAAGCAAUUUUGUCUAAUGCUUUGCAAAAAAAAAUUUGCAAAGGGAGUUCCCUGGAUUUACCCCAGUGUUAGACUGUUGUUGCCUUCCAUCCCUCCCUUAUAAAGGUUUUGUGUGGUUUUUUUGUUUUGUUUUUUUUUUUGGCCGCGCUUUUACUUUAGUUUAGUUCCCACAUGCAGCCACAUGAUGGCAACAAAACGCCAUUAUUAGCCCCGCCGUGUGAAACACCCUCCCCCCAGCCAGGCAGCCGGGCGCCUGCAGGGAGGGGCCCUGCCCAACCGCUCCCUGGCGCCCCACGCCGCAGGCAAACGCCCAGCUUGGCGCCGCCGCCGCGCGAAGGACACCGAGAGACGGGCGGAGCACUUGACAGGCUGCCGCAGGGCGGCCACCGCGCGCGCAGGGGCCGCUAACGAGCCGGGGCCGCCCUCCCGCCAACCAACCAGGGCAAUCGCCCAAUCCCUUCUUAACCCCCCCACAGCUCCCUCCGCAAGCCUAUCAAGGCGGCUGGGUGGCCGGGGCAGGAGCACCUGGGAAGGCGCCUGCCGCCGCCACCUUCACGCGCCCAGUCGUGCCCCCCCUCCCCCGCCGUGGGAGCGGGCGGCCUCGGUUGGGCCCGGCUGGACUGAGGGGCCCGCUCGUGGGAGCGCUUUGCCUCGAGGGCAGCCGGGAAACGCCGGGGGCGGGGGUGUUUAACUCGAGCCCGUCCGACCUUCGUCUGCCGGGGUGGCCGCGCCUCACCCGCUCGGGGGUCGCAGUCCGGGGGGUGGUAGCGUUCUCUGGCGGGACAAAGCGCCUUGCAGCUGCCUUUAGUUGACAGCCCUGGCCUGGCGGGUUCGAAAUAAAACCACCAAAACCCACUUACUGUACCUGGACUUGGUGCCCCCGGCGGGCCAGUGCGGAGACAUAUAAAUGCCAAGAGAUCUGAGAGUGGCUCAAGUCUUUCAACAACUGAAGUGACUCAUUAAUCUUGCUGGAGAACAGUUUUGGACCCUUGAACAGAAGGUCCUAUACAGUGGCUUGGACUUCCUUGGGGAAUCCUGACAGGAUGAAGCCAGGAUGCCUGGCGCAUUACUACAGCGGUUGCGAUGGUCCUUGCCACCCUGUCAGCAGAGUCCAAAGAUGCCUGGAGGGCUGUCCUAGCCAAGAGAUGACCCUCAGAAAUGAGCAACUGCUCCCUUUUGUCCUCUGGCAUGUAGGCUUCGCGGCCAAAAUUGAGAAAUCCAUUUGGACCCACUAUGAAGAGCAUGGAUGUACAAAAGAGCACAAGUAACUCAACUUUCGACUUUUCAUAUCCAUUGCAGCCACAAUAAGCAGCUUUUUAAACUUUUCCCCUUCGUCCAGAUCCAUAACCACUCACUGAUUUAAAACGAUGGGCACACGAAACAAUAUAUUCAUACACACUUAAUGGUAACUUUUUUGCUUAAGAAAAGUGUUAAACUACAAAAAUCUUUGACUUACACAAGGCUCACAAAACCAGUUCUCUCGUUUUUGGCAAGCAGCUAAAUAACAUUCUGGACACACUUCGAUUUCAUUCAUCUGCAACAAGAAGGUGAGCAGCUACUGCAGAGUUCAAAACAAUCUAAGCUGUGAUUAAAACAUUAUUAUUCUAUUCUUUCUAGGAUCCUGCUAUCGUUAGGAGGAAAAUGUGCAGCCACAGAUCACUUUGUAGAUAAUUAUACUUUUUGCCAAGUCAUUAUAACAUGGUUUUGAGAAGCAUUUGCUCUUCCCCAUAUUUGAUCACUGGGAACAUCAUACAGAACAUUUUACAUGUGAAAGAUACACUGAAGGAUUCUGAUGAGGUAUUAUUCAGGACAGAUGAAUCAGCAUGAUUAAGCUCCAUAUACUUCUUUUUAAACUAAAACUAAGAAAAAUUUACCAUUGUUAAAGUAAAAUGUAAUACUUCUCUACGCAUCAUAGGUGGACCCGAGAGUUGAUAAAAUAAAUUGUCAUAUCAUAGAUCACUCUUCAGAUUAUAUUUUAUCACUGCCAUGUGUCCCAGUGACAAAAAUAAAAUCUUAGUUUGAGAAGGAGAGAAGACACUUCAUUCAUAAUCAGAUAUAAAAUAUUUUAUUCCUCAUGUAAAAGGUUUUUUUAAAUAAACAAAUGGAGAAUUAC
Molecule: long non-coding RNA, 2226 nt
Organism: Chelonia mydas (Green sea turtle)
Lineage: Eukaryota; Metazoa; Chordata; Testudines; Cheloniidae
Exons: 3
Source: RefSeq, a predicted model, not a curated record